Camelus ferus (Wild Bactrian camel) is the source of this 73-nucleotide non-coding RNA. The record is from Rfam. Lineage: Eukaryota; Metazoa; Chordata; Mammalia; Artiodactyla; Camelidae.
GGAGGGUACAGCUCAGUGGUAGAGCGCGUGUUUAGCAUCCACGAGAUCCUGGAUUCAAUCCCCAGUCCCUCCA